RNAcentral lists this ribosomal RNA (465 nucleotides) under uncultured bacterium. RNAcentral describes it as "bacterial SSU rRNA". It matches the Rfam family "Bacterial small subunit ribosomal RNA", at positions 330 to 792 of the family's 1533-position model. The record is from RNAcentral.
GCCAGACUCCUACGGGAGGCAGCAGUGAGGAAUAUUGGUCAAUGGCCGGAAGGCUGAACCAGCCAAGCCGCGUGAAGGACGAAGGUGCCAAGCAUUGUAAACUUCUUUUGUCAAGGGACAAAAUCAGGCUCGAGGGCCUGACCGAGGGUACUUGAAGAAAAAGCAUCGGCUAACUCCGUGCCAGCAGCCGCGGUAAUACGGAGGAUUCAAGCGUUAUCCGGAUUUAUUGGGUUUAAAGGGUGCGUAGGCGGUCGGAUAAGUUAGAGGUGAAAUCCCGAGGCUCAACUUCGGAAUUGCCUCUGAUACUGUUCGGCUAGAGAGUAGUUGCGGUAGGCGGAAUGUAUGGUGUAGCGGUGAAAUGCUUAGAGAUCAUACAGAACACCGAUUGCGAAGGCAGCUUACCAAGCUACUUCUGACGUUGAGGCACGAAAGCGUGGGGAGCAAACAGGAUUAGAUACCCGAGUA